RNAcentral lists this ribosomal RNA (253 nucleotides) under uncultured bacterium. Its description in RNAcentral is "partial 16S ribosomal RNA". It matches the Rfam family "Bacterial small subunit ribosomal RNA", at positions 524 to 776 of the family's 1533-position model. The record is from RNAcentral.
GACGUAGGGCGCGAGCGUUAUCCGGAAUUAUUGGGCGUAAAGAGCUCGUAGGCGGUUUGUCGCGUCUGCCGUGAAAGUCCGGGGCUCAACUCCGGAUCUGCGGUGGGUACGGGCAGACUAGAGUGCAGUAGGGGAGACUGGAAUUCCUGGUGUAGCGGUGAAAUGCGCAGAUAUCAGGAGGAACACCGAUGGCGAAGGCAGGUCUCUGGGCUGUAACUGACGCUGAGGAGCGAAAGCAUGGGGAGCGAACAGG